CCUACGGGUGGCAGCAGUGGGGGAUAUUGCACAAUGGCGGAAACGCUGAUGCAGCGACGCCGCGUGUGGGAAGACGGUCCUCUGGAUUGUAAACCACUGUCGCCAGGGACGAAGAUGACGGUACCUGGGGAGGAAGCUCCGGCUAACUACGUGCCAGCAGCCGCGGUAAUACGCAGGGAGCGAGCGUUGUCCGGAAUUACUGGGUGUAAAGGGAGCGUAGGCGGGUCUGCAAGUUGGGGGUAAAAUCUACCGGCUCAACCGGUAGCCGCACUCAAAACUGCAGUUCUUGAGUGAAGUAGAGGCAGGCGGAAUUCGUAGUGUAGCGGUGAAAUGCAUAGAUAUUAGGAGGAACACCAGUGGCGAAGGCAGCCUACUGGGCUUUUACUGACGCUGAGGCUCGAAAGUGUGGGUAUCGAACAGGAUUAGAUACCCGGGUAGUC
RNAcentral lists this ribosomal RNA (440 nucleotides) under uncultured bacterium. RNAcentral's name for it is "partial 16S ribosomal RNA". It matches the Rfam family "Bacterial small subunit ribosomal RNA", at positions 338 to 795 of the family's 1533-position model. The record is from RNAcentral.